Molecule: ribosomal RNA, 253 nt
Filed under: uncultured bacterium
Lineage: Bacteria
Description: partial 16S ribosomal RNA
Rfam family: Bacterial small subunit ribosomal RNA
Source: RNAcentral
UACAGAGGGUGCAAGCGUUAAUCGGAAUUAUUGGGCGUAAAGGGUGUGUAGGUUGUUUAGUAAGUUAACUGUAAAAUCCCAGAGCUCAACUUUGGAUAUAUAUUUAAUACUACUAAUCUAGAGCAUUAUAGAGGAAAGUGGAAUUCCCAGUGUAGCAGUGAAAUGCGUAGAUAUUGGGAGGAACACCAGUGGCGAAGGCGACUUUCUGGGUGUAUGCUGACACUGAGACACGAAAGCAUGGGUAGCAAACAGG